This 77-nucleotide transfer RNA is filed under the name Leeuwenhoekiella parthenopeia. RNAcentral describes it as "tRNA-Arg". It matches the Rfam family "tRNA". Rfam says of the family: Transfer RNA (tRNA) molecules are approximately 80 nucleotides in length. Their secondary structure includes four short double-helical elements and three loops (D, anti-codon, and T loops). Lineage: Bacteria; Pseudomonadati; Bacteroidota; Flavobacteriia; Flavobacteriales; Flavobacteriaceae. The record is from RNAcentral.
GGCUCCGUGGCGCAACUGAAUAGCGCAUCAGAUUUCGGCUCUGAGGGUUGGGGGUUUGAAUCCCUCCGGGGUCACCA